GCCUUAAUAAUGAAUAAUCAUAUAAUGGUUUCGGCCCAUUUUAAAAUAGUAGUAAAACUAUUUUAAGGU
This 69-nucleotide transfer RNA is filed under the name Callochiton steinenii. RNAcentral's name for it is "tRNA-Arg". Lineage: Eukaryota; Metazoa; Mollusca; Polyplacophora; Chitonida; Callochitonidae. The record is from RNAcentral.